This 257-nucleotide ribosomal RNA is filed under the name uncultured bacterium. RNAcentral's name for it is "partial 16S ribosomal RNA". It matches the Rfam family "Bacterial small subunit ribosomal RNA", at positions 524 to 776 of the family's 1533-position model. The record is from RNAcentral.
UACGAAGGGGGGCUAGCGUUGCUCGGAAUUAUUGGGCGUAAAGCGCGUGUAGGCGGCUUUGCAAGUCGGGUGUGAAAGCCCUCAGCUCAACUGAGGAAGUGCGCCCCGAAACUGCAGAGCUUGAGUGCCGGAGAGGGUGGCGGAAAUUCCCCCAAGUAGAGGUGAAAUUCGUAGAUAUGGGGAGGAACACCGGUGGGCGAAGGCGCCACCUGGACGGUAACUGACGCUGAGACGCGAAAGCGUGGGGAGCAAACAGG